GGCAGCCAGCGCUCCUCCCCUAUUCCCGCUGCCUUCUGGGUAAUAGGGGAGUGCGAAACACGCUUGCUCCCUGCGCGCCAUCUUUACUAUUGGCAGAAAGUCCCGUUGCCAGGUUACCUGGGACCUUGCUGUGGAGGAGAGUGGUUGGCACCUGAGCUCCUACAGCCGCAGGACUCUAAGAAUCAUUUGUGAUUAUACAUUUACUUGGCUACCCUAUGUCCUUUCUAAUAUGUCUAUGAAGACUGUACAGCAGUCUGGCUGCCCUACUGAGGAGCCCUAUGAAGAGACACUGAGCCCCAGCCAAUGCUCCAAGACAUUCUAGAAACUGCAGCUGAGCCCUACAUAUGCAUGAUACCACCUUGGACAUUCCAACCCCAGCUGAGCUAUCAACUGAAUAGAGCCACAGGAAUAACCUCAUCGACAUUAUGUGGAACAAAAAUCUUCCCAGAUGAGCCUGGUUGUUUUAGGUUUGGGGAUGGCUUAUUAUACAGUAGUAGGUAACUGAAACAUACACAUAAACUUUUUUUUUUUUUGAGACAAUGUCUUACUAUGUAUUCCAGACGGGUUUAAAACACAUUAUGUAGUCCUGGCUGGCCUCUUAACAAUGUGCAAUCCUGCUUCAGUCUCCUGCGUGUAGAGAUUACAGGCAUGUAUCACCAUGCCCAGUGAUACACAUAAAUGCUUAUGACAUGCAAAACCAGCCUAAAGAGUAGCAGAUCAGAUUUGUGCCCCCACAGGAGAAGAGCUUGAAUGGGAGGAAAGAUUUGCCAGUCUCACAUUUAAAGCCAGAUCCCAGACUUACAGCCAGUUUUUCUGGAAGUUGGCUGCUGGAUCUUACAUUUCUGGAUGCUUGAAGAGGAAUUACUAAUAAAGAACAAAGCUUCAUAUAUGACAUAUUAUUUCUCAGUAUUUCCACUUUUCCUUCUCAUGUUUUGUAUAUUCCCCAAAGGGCUUCCAUGUCUCUGUGUCUAUCUGACAUAAGCCAGAAUCCUGGAACUAAAUUGUUUUUCCUUCCUUCCUUCCUUCCUUCCUUCCUUCCUUUUUUCUUUUUGAUCUUUUUGAGACAGUGUUUCCCUGUACAGUUCAUGCUGGCUUUGAAAUCAUGUUGUAGCCCAGGCUGGCCUCCUGCCUCAGCCUCCUAAGUGCUGGGAUUAUGAGCAUGUACCACCAUGCCUGGCCAGCAUGUCUCUUUAGAAUUUUUUUUUUAUGUGGUGAAAUGUAUCCUUACCACUUUAAUCAUUUUUAAAUGCAUAAUAGAAACAAUGUUAAAAGGUAGGCUAUUGUACAUCUCUCCCUAGGUCUGUGCUCAGCAGCGCUGGGUUGGUAGCUGGGCCAGCUUAUCCAUAAAGAUCCUCAGCAGGAUGCACAAGAACCCCUGCCCCUGUAUUGCUGCCUACAUAAUGUUUCAAGGAAAUUAGUUUUUUCUCUUCUUGUGCUGGGGAUUGAACUCAUGCAAGGCUCUGCACUGAGCUACACUCUCAACUCCCAAUUUUUUUUAAGAUCAGAAGCAAAAUAUAACUUUUAGGUUGAAGAAAAUGUUUUAAUAUAUAAUAAUAUGUUCAUCUUCAUGUCAUUGUACUUUAUGAUUUAUAUUUAAUAUAAAUAUAUACUGUUAAGAUAUCUUAUUUAUAAACAUAAAAUUUUAUACAUGUGUAUAUUUGUAUUAUAGAGGAAGAGUUCCCUAGAGCAAAAAUGCCUAAGAAUCAUGAAAGUCAUAACGUAACUCUGAUUGGCUACUUGAAAUUGACCAUGAUGGAAAUGUUUACAAAAAUCAGCAAAUGUUGCAAAUCAGGUCUUGAACUUUUGUUAACAAAUUUUCCUAUAAAAAGGCAAGUAAGUAGUUUAUAUAUAGUAGAUAGUUUAGACUUUGCUGCCCAUAUUAUUGUGUCACCACUGUAUCAGAACUCCCCUCCCCCAUCAGUGUACUUCAGUUUCUUAGUUGCUCAGGAACUAUAGUUCCUAUUCUGGUUCUGGUCGCUUUUAUCUCUUAGAAAUGGCUGGUCACUGAAAUGCAUAGCUUCAAUUGACAAGCCAUUCUGCUUCUGUACUUUCUGCUUGCUUAUCUCCUGUAAGCCCUACACCAUCAGAUGUCAAGAACUGAUAUUCUGGGAAUGAUCCUGAUCAGUGCCUGCCAAUGUAAAUAAAUCUGCCUCCAAA
Cavia porcellus (domestic guinea pig) is the source of this 2157-nucleotide long non-coding RNA. RefSeq lists it as uncharacterized. The record is from RefSeq and is a predicted model, not a curated record. The transcript has 2 exons. Lineage: Eukaryota; Metazoa; Chordata; Mammalia; Rodentia; Caviidae.